This is a long non-coding RNA of Bos taurus (domestic cattle), 617 nucleotides long. The record is from Ensembl. Lineage: Eukaryota; Metazoa; Chordata; Mammalia; Artiodactyla; Bovidae.
AGAUAUGGUCCCUACCCACCUAGAGCUUUCAGUCUGGUGAGAGAUAGGUAUCAUAUCUACAUUUAAAGAAAAAUCAUUAUAAACCAUGAGAUGUGAAGAACUGACUCAUUUGAAAAGACCCUGAUGCUGGGAAAGAUUGAAGGCGGGAGGAGAAGGGGACGACAGAGGAUGAGAUGGUUGGAUGGCAUCACUGACUCAAUGGACAUGAGUUUGAAUUCUGCAGUAACUUUGAUCUGAGAUAUGAAGGACCAGUAGAAAUUCACCAGGUAAAGAGAGGAAGAGCAUGGGCACAGUAUGAGCAUAGGCUCUGUGCCAGGAUGGAAGUCAGCCUCAAUGGAUUACUCUAUCAAGGUCACUGCCGUGAACUGCAGAAAAAAUGGGAACAUAAUGAAGUAAAGUUUAAAUAGACCUAACAAAGCCUUGAUUCAAUGUUCCUGGGAUACAGUCUCUUCACUUGAAAAUGCAUAUUCCAGAAUUCAGUUCCACCUGAGAUGGCAGAGGUUCUGAGAACCAUCUGGGGGUUUGAUGUGAUGUGAACAUUUCUUUCGUACUGUUCCUUUUUCCUAUUUGCAUUUAUGUGAUUGACCAUGUGUGCACUAAGUAAACAAAUCUUUCUG